RNAcentral lists this ribosomal RNA (708 nucleotides) under Bacillus sp. (in: firmicutes). RNAcentral describes it as "bacterial SSU rRNA". It matches the Rfam family "Bacterial small subunit ribosomal RNA", at positions 70 to 762 of the family's 1533-position model. The record is from RNAcentral. Lineage: Bacteria; Bacillati; Bacillota; Bacilli; Caryophanales; Bacillaceae.
GAUUAGAAGCUUGCUUCUAUGACGUUAGCGGCGGACGGGUGAGUAACACGUGGGCAACCUGCCUGUAAGACUGGGAUAACUUCGGGAAACCGAAGCUAAUACCGGAUAGGAUCUUCUCCUUCAUGGGAGAUGAUUGAAAGAUGGUUUCGGCUAUCACUUACAGAUGGGCCCGCGGUGCAUUAGCUAGUUGGUGAGGUAACGGCUCACCAAGGCAACGAUGCAUAGCCGACCUGAGAGGGUGAUCGGCCACACUGGGACUGAGACACGGCCCAGACUCCUACGGGAGGCAGCAGUAGGGAAUCUUCCGCAAUGGACGAAAGUCUGACGGAGCAACGCCGCGUGAGUGAUGAAGGCUUUCGGGUCGUAAAACUCUGUUGUUAGGGAAGAACAAGUACGAGAGUAACUGCUCGUACCUUGACGGUACCUAACCAGAAAGCCACGGCUAACUACGUGCCAGCAGCCGCGGUAAUACGUAGGUGGCAAGCGUUAUCCGGAAUUAUUGGGCGUAAAGCGCGCGCAGGCGGUUUCUUAAGUCUGAUGUGAAAGCCCACGGCUCAACCGUGGAGGGUCAUUGGAAACUGGGGAACUUGAGUGCAGAAGAGAAAAGCGGAAUUCCACGUGUAGCGGUGAAAUGCGUAGAGAUGUGGAGGAACACCAGUGGCGAAGGCGGCUUUUUGGUCUGUAACUGACGCUGAGGCGCGAAAGCGU